RNAcentral lists this transfer-messenger RNA (357 nucleotides) under Bacillota bacterium. It matches the Rfam family "transfer-messenger RNA". Rfam says of the family: Bacterial tmRNA, also known as 10Sa RNA or SsrA, is named for its dual tRNA and mRNA-like properties. Its role is to liberate the mRNA from a stalled ribosome. To accomplish this part of the tmRNA is used as a reading frame that ends in a translation stop signal. RNAcentral also lists the same sequence under 1 other name. Lineage: Bacteria; Bacillati; Bacillota. The record is from RNAcentral.
GGGGGCGAGUUAGGCUCGACAGAUGGAGCGGGGACAAGGGAUAAGCGAGCCGAGGUUCCACCUGCUCGUUAAACGGUGGGCAAAAAUAAACGCAGACAAGACUGCGCUUCCUGCGGCUGCCUAAUUAAGCCGCACGCUCAGGCGUCCCUCGCCCGCGGGGCCGUCUGGGUGUCAUCCUAGCGGGCUGCCCGUCGGCUGCCUCCUGACGGCCUGACGGAAAGACUCUAUCAGGAUAGCAGGGCCUCGCGGCCCGCCCGCCGGUUGGGGCCCUGCGAAGGCAAUAGGCGGGAUACGCUCGUAGAAACCCUUGUCACUGCCCUUCUGGACCAGGGGUGCAACUCCCCUGCGCCUCCACCA